This is a non-coding RNA of Tinamus guttatus (white-throated tinamou), 378 nucleotides long. Lineage: Eukaryota; Metazoa; Chordata; Aves; Tinamiformes; Tinamidae. The record is from RefSeq and is a predicted model, not a curated record.
GGCACUAAGGAAUAAGCAGCUCGUUGCUCGGCCUGGGGAGGAGGAAGCCGCAAGGAGGACAGGUAGUUUUCAGAGCCACAGCGAGGGCUGGGAGUACUUUCUAAAAAGGGAAUGCAGCUGAGCUCCUGGUCUCUCUGUGGCCUUUCACGCACUUGGUACUGGAGUGAAACCAACUUCCUCAGAAGACAAACUGCAGCUCCAAGUUAGGAGAAUAAUACCAAGCCUGAAUUAACCAAGGGGAAAGGAACCCCUAAGCACUGUGAGAACAAGCGGAAUAUGACUGAGAACAUUCCCUUUCCAUUAACUUUUGCAGACCAUAAUGAGUUGCAUUCCUCGGGCUCCGAGCUCGCUAUGUUAGCCUGUGACAAUGGGAGCGAG